CCUGCGGAGGGAUCAUUACCGAGUUUACAACUCCCAAACCCCUGUGAACAUACCACUUGUUGCCUCGGCGGAUCAGCCCGCUCCCGGUAAAACGGGACGGCCCGCCAGAGGACCCCUAAACUCUGUUUCUAUAUGUAACUUCUGAGUAAAACCAUAAAUAAAUCAAAACUUUCAACAACGGAUCUCUUGGUUCUGGCAUCGAUGAAGAACGCAGCAAAAUGCGAUAAGUAAUGUGAAUUGCAGAAUUCAGUGAAUCAUCGAAUCUUUGAACGCACAUUGCGCCCGCCAGUAUUCUGGCGGGCAUGCCUGUUCGAGCGUCAUUUCAACCCUCAAGCACAGCUUGGUGUUGGGACUCGCGUUAAUUCGCGUUCCUCAAAUUGAUUGGCGGUCACGUCGAGCUUCCAUAGCGUAGUAGUAAAACCCUCGUUACUGGUAAUCGUCGCGGCCACGCCGUUAAACCCCAACUUCUGAAUGUUGACCUCGGAUCAGGUAGGAAUACCCGCUGAACUUAA
Molecule: ribosomal RNA, 512 nt
Filed under: Fusarium oxysporum
Lineage: Eukaryota; Fungi; Ascomycota; Sordariomycetes; Hypocreales; Nectriaceae
Description: eukaryotic LSU rRNA
Rfam family: 5.8S ribosomal RNA (bases 167-320)
Source: RNAcentral